GGUGCUUGCACCUGAUUGAUUCCGUUCGCCAACGAGUGGCGGACGGGUGAGUAACACGUAGGUAACCUGCCCAGAAGCGGGGGACAACAUUUGGAAACAGAUGCUAAUACCGCAUAACAACGUUGUUCGCAUGAACAACGCUUAAAAGAUGGCUUCUCGCUAUCACUUCUGGAUGGACCUGCGGUGCAUUAGCUUGUUGGUGGGGUAAUGGCCUACCAAGGCGAUGAUGCAUAGCCGAGUUGAGAGACUGAUCGGCCACAAUGGGACUGAGACACGGCCCAUACUCCUACGGGAGGCAGCAGUAGGGAAUCUUCCACAAUGGGCGCAAGCCUGAUGGAGCAACACCGCGUGAGUGAAGAAGGGUUUCGGCUCGUAAAGCUCUGUUGUUAAAGAAGAACACGUAUGAGAGUAACUGUUCAUACGUUGACGGUAUUUAACCAGAAAGUCACGGCUAACUACGUGCCAGCAGCCGCGGUAAUACGUAGGUGGCAAGCGUUAUCCGGAUUUAUUGGGCGUAAAGAGAGUGCAGGCGGUUUUCUAAGUCUGAUGUGAAAGCCUUCGGCUUAACCGGAGAAGUGCAUCGGAAACUGGAUAACUUGAGUGCAGAAGAGGGUAGUGGAACUCCAUGUGUAGCGGUGGAAUGCGUAGAUAUAUGGAAGAACACCAGUGGCGAAGGCGGCUACCUGGUCUGCAACUGACGCUGAGACUCGAAAGCAUGGGUAGCGAACAGGAUUAGAUACCCUGGUAGUCCAUGCCGUAAACGAUGAGUGCUAGGUGUUGGAGGGUUUCCGCCCUUCAGUGCCGGAGCUAACGCAUUAAGCACUCCGCCUGGGGAGUACGACCGCAAGGUUGAAACUCAAAGGAAUUGACGGGGGCCCGCACAAGCGGUGGAGCAUGUGGUUUAAUUCGAAGCUACGCGAAGAACCUUACCAGGUCUUGACAUCUUGCGCCAACCCUAGAGAUAGGGCGUUUCCUUCGGGAACGCAAUGACAGGUGGUGCAUGGUCGUCGUCAGCUCGUGUCG
This 1023-nucleotide ribosomal RNA is filed under the name Lactobacillus sp. M13. RNAcentral's name for it is "bacterial SSU rRNA". It matches the Rfam family "Bacterial small subunit ribosomal RNA", at positions 68 to 1067 of the family's 1533-position model. Lineage: Bacteria; Bacillati; Bacillota; Bacilli; Lactobacillales; Lactobacillaceae. The record is from RNAcentral.